RNAcentral lists this ribosomal RNA (488 nucleotides) under uncultured Bacilli bacterium. RNAcentral's name for it is "bacterial SSU rRNA". It matches the Rfam family "Bacterial small subunit ribosomal RNA", at positions 907 to 1392 of the family's 1533-position model. The record is from RNAcentral. Lineage: Bacteria; Bacillati; Bacillota; Bacilli.
GAAUUGACGGGGACCCGCACAAGCGGUGGAGCAUGUGGUUUAAUUCGAAGCAACGCGAAGAACCUUACCAAGGCUUGACAUCCUCCUGCCGGGCUUGUAAUGGAGUCUUUCCCUUCGGGGACGGGAGAGACAGGUGGUGCAUGGUUGUCGUCAGCUCGUGUCGUGAGAUGUUGGGUUAAGUCCCGCAACGAGCGCAACCCUUAUCUUUAGUAGCCAGCGAGUAAAGUCGGGCACUCUAGAGAGACUGCCGGGGUUAACCCGGAGGAAGGUGGGGAUGACGUCAAAUCAUCAUGCCCCUUAUGUCUUGGGCUACACACGUGCUACAAUGGCUGCGACAAAGGGAAGCGAAGGGGUGACCUGGAGCGAAACCCAAAAAAGCAGUCCCAGUUCGGAUUGGAGUCUGCAACUCGACUCCAUGAAGGUGGAUUCGCUAGUAAUCGCGCAUCAGCAUGUCGCGGUGAAUACGUUCCCGGGUCUUGUACACACCG